CAAAGGGAUUUCACCUCGUCCUUGAGAGCAACACGGGGAGCGCGAGCGAGCGGGCGAGCGAGAGACGGGGGGAGAGAGAGGGACACGCGCGCGCACACACACACACACCGGCACACACGCACACACACAGACACACACACACAGAGUGAAAAAGGCGAGCCACCAAAACCCAUCUCCAGUCUCCUCCCGGGGGCCCCCAGCCCGCCUCUGUGCCACUUUGCAUCCCACGCCGGAGGAGGCAUUAACGAGACCGGGUAAGGUGGUGCUGCAUUCUUACAACCCUAAAAUCCAUCUGCUCUUAACACACCGUCAAAAAGAGGGGGAAAUGCAUCUCCGAGGGAGUGCUCGAGAGAAGAUAAUGGAAUGGUCUGAUGUAAUCCCAUACAAAUUAUUCCUCAUGAUGUGAAAAUGCUUUUACAGGGACCUGGGAGAUUUCUAAACUGGGCUUUUUAAACGGUCCAAGGUGUAGAGCCAUACUUCAGGAGGAUCCUCAGAAGUUUUGGACAAGCCUCCCCAAAUGUGGCAGGUGCUGUGCUGGCCAUUGGUGACCCAAAGAUGAUGAAAAAUAUGUUCCUGCCCACAAGGAGUUAGCGACCUACUGGGGUAUGUACAAUGUUUAUUCUGUUAUUUUUAAUAUGAUGCUUGUGUUAAGCAGUGUGUAGAGAGCUAAUAUGUAAAAAGAAUUUGGCAAAUAAAUUUUGCAAGUAUUUGGCACAAUUUUUCCUUUUACCGAAUGUACUAAUGCCAAAAAAUGUUGGUAAUUUGGAGAUGGUUUCUCAUAUAACCAAAUCAAUAAAAAACAGGUUCAAUUUUUGUAGAUUCUGUAGUAAUAGGGCAGAUUAAAUUUUAAAAAGCCACUGAGACAUGUCUGUACUUCCUACACUUGUGUGUAUUUGAAGGCAAAUGAAAGUAGACUAGAAAUGCCACCAAAGCACAUCACACAUUAGCAACAAUGUACAUUUCUUCUUCACACAUAAAACAUUGACUCUUCUGCUUUUUAUUGGUUACUUUAUUGAUAAUUGCUAUCUUUCAUCUUCUCCUACUUCAUCAGUUCCUCCAAUUGAGCAAAGUCUAUAUUGGGAUAAAAUGUAUCUUUCCUUCCUUAAUUAAUGUUGAUUUUUGCCAAAAUAUGUAUUUUAUUUGAGUCAUAAUAAAAAUUAUAAUAGUUUUUUCUUACAGUAACCAUGCAGGAUGCCUUGAGUAGUCCUGAAGAACUAAAUAUAGUAAAUGUUCAUCACUGCAGGAUUCUGAGGAGGCAGGCAGGAUACAUGCGUGAUUCUCCUUCCCAUCUUUGCACAGAACCUAUACUCGUGCACUGCAUCUGGUUUUUCUCAGAAAUUACGUACUCUACGGCUGCCCAUCCUAUUCAAGAAUGAGGCAAUAGAAAAGCAUUUGCAAAAGUUAGUUACAAAUGUGGGGCUUGACGUUGAGCUAGCUUUCCUCUUGCUGAUGACAUGAUUCCUGUUUGAAUCUGUUGACAAGAUUCUGAAAGCUGAACAGAGAAUUCUGGCACUGCACUGGGUAGGAAAAAGCAUUUCAAGAAAUAGAUAAUAUCAAGGACAUCAGGACACCGGGAGUGGGAGAGAUUGGACUGGGAGACUCAGCAGGUCAGGACAUUUACAUUACCAUUUGCUGGUCAUUCUUUUGCCAUCAGUUUUACAAUUCUCAAAUCUCUUGCCACUUGCUUAUUUCU
Molecule: long non-coding RNA, 1693 nt
Filed under: Homo sapiens (human)
Lineage: Eukaryota; Metazoa; Chordata; Mammalia; Primates; Hominidae
Description: long non-coding RNA NONHSAT163372.1
Source: RNAcentral